RNAcentral lists this ribosomal RNA (468 nucleotides) under uncultured bacterium. Its description in RNAcentral is "partial 16S ribosomal RNA". It matches the Rfam family "Bacterial small subunit ribosomal RNA", at positions 28 to 523 of the family's 1533-position model. The record is from RNAcentral.
GAUGAACGCUGGCGGCGUGCCUAACACAUGCAAGUCGAGCGAUUUACUUCGGUAAAGAGCGGCGGAUGGGUGAGUAACGCGUGGGUAACCUGCCCUGUACACACGGAUAACAUACCGAAAGGUAUGCUAAUACGGGAUAAUAUGCUUUAGUCGCAUGGCUGAAGAAUCAAAGCUCCGGCGGUACAGGAUGGACCCGCGUCUGAUUAGCUAGUUGGUAAGGUAACGGCUCACCAAGGCGACGAUCAGUAGCCGACCUGAGAGGGUGAUCGGCCACAUUGGAACUGCGACACGGACCAAACUCCUACGGGAGGCAGCAGUGGGGAAUAUUGCACAAUGGGCGAGAGCCUGAUGCAGCAACGCCGCGUGAGUGAUGAAGGCCUUCGGGUCGUAAAGCUCUGUCCUCAAGGAAGAUAAUGACGGUACUUGAGGAGGAAGCCCCGGCUAACUACGUGCCAGCAGCCGCCGUAA